RNAcentral lists this ribosomal RNA (427 nucleotides) under uncultured bacterium. RNAcentral describes it as "bacterial SSU rRNA". It matches the Rfam family "Bacterial small subunit ribosomal RNA", at positions 355 to 774 of the family's 1533-position model. The record is from RNAcentral.
UGGGGAAUUUUGGACAAUGGACGCAAGUCUGAUCCAGCCAUGCCGCGUGCGGGAAGAAGGCCUUCGGGUUGUAAACCGCUUUUGUCAGGGAAGAAACGAGUUUCUCUAAUACAGAGACUUAAUGACGGUACCUGAAGAAUAAGCACCGGCUAACUACGUGCCAGCAGCCGCGGUAAUACGUAGGGUGCAAGCGUUAAUCGGAAUUACUGGGCGUAAAGCGUGCGCAGGCGGUUAUGUAAGACAGAUGUGAAAUCCCCGGGCUCAACCUGGGAACUGCGUUUGUGAAUGCAUAACUAGAGUACGGCAGAGGGGGAUGGAAUUCCGCGUGUAGCAGUGAAAUGCGUAGAUAUGCGGAGGAACACCGAUGGCGAAGGCAAUCCCCUGGACCUGUACUGACGCUCAUGCACGAAAGCGUGGGGAGCAAACA